RNAcentral lists this long non-coding RNA (816 nucleotides) under Anser cygnoides (Swan goose). Its description in RNAcentral is "lncRNA (ENSACDG00005015340.1)". The record is from RNAcentral. Lineage: Eukaryota; Metazoa; Chordata; Aves; Anseriformes; Anatidae.
GUUGGGGACAGGGAUGGGGACAAGGACGGGGACAGGGACAAGGUGGGGACAGGGAAAGGGAUGGGGACAGGGACAGGGAUGGGAUGGCACAGGGUGGAAAUGGGGACCAGGACAGUGAUGGGGACAGGGAAGGGGAUGGGGCCGUCACUCACCCCUUGGCCUCAGCCACCUCCGGGGAGCUGGGGGCUGCCGAGAGCCCCCCCAUUUCUUCCAGCCUGGGUGGGACACGGGGGGGGAGGGUCAGAGCUACGGGGCCCCCGCCACACGCGGUGUCACCGUGCCGUGUCCCCAAACACACACGGUGUCCCCAAGCCCCCUCUGCAGUGUCCCCAAGCCCCCAAGCAACGUCCCCGAGACCCCAUGCAACGUCCCCAAGCACCCACGAAAUGUCCCCAAGACCCCCCACAAAGCCCCCAGCCCCCCACAACGUCCCCAAGCCCCCAGGCGAUGUCCCCGCGCCCCCACCUGGCGAGCAGCAGGCGCAGGACGUCGUGGGGCUGGGUGAAGGCACGGAAGGUGGCGAGGAAGGUGGGGACGAAGGCUCCGUCCCCGCGGGCCGGGGCCUCCAGCAGCAUCCCAGUGCCACCCCAUAGCAUCCCAGUGGUGCUCUCAGUGCUCCCAGUGCUCCCAGUGCCUCCCUGCAGCUCCCUCUUGAGCCUCCACCCCCAGUCCCUGCGCCCAGUAACCCCAGUACGCCCAGUACCCCCAGUCCCGUGCUCCCAGUCCCAGCCCUCCGUGCUCCCCCAGUCCCUGCUCCCAGUAACCCCGUCCCUCACCCCCCGUGCUCCCAGUACCUCCCAGUGCCUGCUUCCAGUC